This 1031-nucleotide long non-coding RNA is filed under the name Homo sapiens (human). Its description in RNAcentral is "HSALNT0375855". The record is from RNAcentral. Lineage: Eukaryota; Metazoa; Chordata; Mammalia; Primates; Hominidae.
UGAAGGAUUACAAGAGGUUUGUAAGAAAACUCCAGGGGUACAGUGGUUCAGAAAUGGACAUAACAGCCUAGAGGAAGACCUGGGAGAAGCCCUUGAAUAACCAUUGGUCCAUUGUGCAUCUAGGGUCCUUAACAAAAAGAUAAAAGACAAGUGUAUAAUAUGUUGGAAAAAAAAUUUCCCAUUCCCACACAGUCUAAUGAGAAAAUAUCAGACAAUCCAAAUUGAGGAGCAUUCUACAAAAUGUCCAGUACUCUUCAAAAGUGUCAAGAUCCCCCAAAACAAGACAAGACUAAACAAGACAAGACUAAAAAACUGUCAUAGAUCAGAGAAGAAUGGAGAGACCUGGUGACUAAAUGCUUUGGGCUAUCCUGGAUUGGAUUCUAGAAUAGCAAAUAAGCAACUUUCAGUAAAUACUUUUGUAAUUGCCCAUGAGUUGUCAAGCACUCAUGAGAUGAAGUUCCAACUCUACAGAUGAAAGCCCUGUUUUUGAAUCAAGCACUUCAUGAGUAAGGAUUUCACAAAGCUGCAAAAUCUGCUCUUGAGAACCCCUGACAACUAAAUAUUCCAUGGCUUCCACUGAUAAUCAUGCUGUCAGGCUUGUCAUAUACCAGGAGGUAUCAACAAUCACCAAGCUCUCGUGCAUUAACUACCUGUUUCACCUCCAUUGAGGAUAUGUCUCAGGUCAAUAAUUGGAUCUAUGAAACCUGGCUGUGAUAAAUACCAAGGAAUUCUAUGCCAGUUCACAGCAGUAAGAGUGCAGAAGUGCCAGGCUGAAGAGGCCAUGUCCAUCUGCUUAUUGCAAUUUCUUCCUGAAGAUUGUUUUUGGGUGCUUUAUCAAUUGUCCACAUUGUUCUGGGAGAGUGGAGCUCUAAACUACUGUGAGGAAAUUCUAUGCACAUAGCUGGGGCCUCUCAGCUGCCAGACUUCUCUGUAGGGAACAAAGCAAGAACCAGAUGAUUGCUGAUGGACCCUGACAUGCUGCAUCUGGAGAUGUUUCCUCAGAGAGAAACCCUCUGUUCCCCUGUGCUGAG